Molecule: ribosomal RNA, 404 nt
Filed under: Aoraki denticulata
Lineage: Eukaryota; Metazoa; Arthropoda; Arachnida; Opiliones; Pettalidae
Description: partial 16S ribosomal RNA
Source: RNAcentral
UUAAUUGUAGACUAGUAUGAAAGAGGGAUAAUUUAUGACUUUAUUUUCUAUAAUUAUUAAAAUUAAUUUUUUAGUAAAAAAGCUAAAAUUUAAUAUAGGGACAAGAAGACCCUAUAAAGCUUAAUAAAUUUAUUAAAUGUAUAAUCGUUUAAAAAAUUUUUUGUUGGGGCAAUAUGUUAUAAUGAAAAUUAUAAUAAUAAUAAAAUUAUUGAUAUAAAAGAUCCUGUAUAUAUACAGAAAAUUUGAAUAAAAAGUUACUUUAGGGAUAACAGGAUAAUUUUUAUGAGAAAGUACAAAUUUUUUAUAAAGAUUAUUACCUCGAUGUUGAAUUAAUGAGAUAGUAGGGAGAAAAAAUUCUAUAUAUUUGACUGUUCGUCAAUUAAAAAAUUACAUGAUCUGAGUUC